This 1936-nucleotide long non-coding RNA is filed under the name Coffea arabica (coffee). Its description in RNAcentral is "long non-coding RNA (CARA_LNC002432)". The record is from RNAcentral. Lineage: Eukaryota; Viridiplantae; Streptophyta; Magnoliopsida; Gentianales; Rubiaceae.
AGUAUAGCAUAGCAGUCACAACACUUCCACAACACAUCUUCAAGUUUUCCGGGAUCUAUCCAGUUUAAAGCCUAAAAAACCGUGUGCUGAGUAUUGUAUAACACGAGUAUCUGAGUUGCUUUUCGAGUUCUGCUGAUCAAGUAAGCCAGUCCAAUUUGAAGUAAACAACAAAAUCCACAUGCACAAGACAUUUGAUAUGAAAUUGGUAUUUCACAAUAGGAGAAAACGGGCCAUUUUGAGCAUCAGAAUGAAUCUACUCACCUAUUUAUUUAGUACUUGGACUAAACAAAGGUCCAUCUAAUUCAAAUUGGCCAACAAGUCACUAGAAAAUAGAAUUUCACCUCCUUACAUUGAAAUGCAAUGCUGGAUUUAAAUUUUCCAUGCAACGUGUUCUUCCACCUCAGGCCUUAAAUAUCGGAAUUUCAGCCUAAUUAUAAUGAACCGCACUUGCAGCAACUAGAUUAAUCUGAAAGAAGCAACAGCCUGCAGAGAAUCAGAGCAUAUCAUCAUAAGGAAAAUCAAUCAUUUGAUGCUUACAUCGGCUUAUGUCUCUAUUGCCUUUAGACUGAGGUUCAUGCAUGUAGUUUGAAUGUUUACCACUCACAAAAAUAGCAAAAAUUCCUGCUUUAUAUCUCAAAAUGUCUUUGUAGUUCCAACAUGAAGUGUAAUCCUGAAUUUAAAUAUCCGUGUACAGACCAUGCUGUCCAAUUAAAGAAAUAAUUUAUAUCAAGUUAGUCGACAUUUGAGCGAGAAGAAAUUAUUCGAUAUUAAAUAAAGAAUAUAUCGAGCACGAUUGACAACACCUUAUCAUACUACGACCUUUUUUCACAUCCAAGACGUUAAACUUCAUAUAAAACCAAUGAGUUUGCCACACAAUUCUAUGAUUGAAAUGCUCAUAACUUUGUUAUAACUUCUUCGAGAUUUAUAUUUUGCCCAUUUGGCGUAGAUAUAUAUAAAUUCAAUGUAUGAAAUGAAUAUGUCAUUAUUCCUUGCACUACAAAUUUUCUUGAGCCUAUACAUAUUAUGCAAUUGGUGUGUAAUGAGUUAGAUCUGUUAAAGCUAAGUUCUCAUAAUUGAUGAAGUGUAAGAUGUCAUUCUCUCUUCGGUGAAGAUUCCUAGGACCAAGUAAAACUGGGAAUUGAGUAACUAUAGUAACAGUCCAUUUGGCAAUUAGAACUUUUAAUUUUCUUACCCGCACAGAGUAGCAAUCAUAACAUACAAAUUUCUCUUUGACAUUUCACCGAACAUCUUAUAUGCAUUCCCAAAUUAAUCACAUUUAACUUAAACACAUUGUCUCAAGUCCUUUCCUAGAUGUUUCAUAUGGCUAUUAAGCACAUUUUACCCGUAGACAAUCAAAACUACAACCAUUUCCUAGAUGUUUCAAUGGACAAUUUCAGCCCCAAAAUUGCAAUAAAUUCUUCAAAUUCUCAGCCCUGAUUUCGCAAGAAAAUCUUGACAAACAAAACAAAUGAAAUAUAAAUAAAUUACAGCAAUAUAAUCAAAUGAUUUCAAGAGCAUGAUGGUCUAACCUCGUCACCGCUAUUUUUCAUAUGCUCUUUGGUUGGCUACCACCGUUGCUAACCCUUUUGUUGUGUCUGAUAGGGGGGAAACCUUUCUCCUGAACCUGUGCUAUCUAUAAAGCAUAUUUAGCUUUUCCUCCGCGCCUAGGCAGGCCAAUUGAUUGACCGAAAUGAGAAUCAAUGCUUAGUAGAAGGCAGAAACAGAGACUGAGGCAUGAAACCUACCAGAAGAGUUCAGCCUGAAGAUAUGAUAGAAUUGCUUAGCCCGCUUGAUCAAUUUUCUAAAUUUUAGCAAAAGCUAAUCCCGUUCCAUAAGAUGAUGAUCGUACUCCUUCCUUAUCCAGGAAAAAAUUUCUACAAUCUUCCGUGAGGUGAGAAGAAAAUAAAAAGAAGGGAAGCAACUUUAGAGAGAUGUG